UACGAAGGGUGCAAGCGUUACUCGGAAUUACUGGGCGUAAAGCGUGCGUAGGUGGUUCGUUAAGUCUGAUGUGAAAGCCCUUGGCUCAACCUGGGAAUGGCAUUGGAAACUGGCGACCUAGAGUGCGGUAGAGGGUAGUGGAAUUCCCGGUGUAGCAGUGAAAUGCGUAGAGAUCGGGAGGAACAUCCGUGGCGAAGGCGACUACCUGGACCAGCACUGACACUGAGGCACGAAAGCGUGGGGAGCAAACAGG
Molecule: ribosomal RNA, 253 nt
Filed under: uncultured bacterium
Lineage: Bacteria
Description: partial 16S ribosomal RNA
Rfam family: Bacterial small subunit ribosomal RNA
Source: RNAcentral